Molecule: ribosomal RNA, 254 nt
Filed under: uncultured bacterium
Lineage: Bacteria
Description: partial 16S ribosomal RNA
Rfam family: Bacterial small subunit ribosomal RNA
Source: RNAcentral
UACGUAGGGUGCGAGCGUUAAUCGGAAUUACUGGGCGUAAAGCGUGCGCAGGCGGUUUGUUAAGUCUGAUGUGAAAGCCCCGGGCUCAACCUGGGAACUGCAUUGGAAACUGGCAAGCUCGAGUAUGGCAGAGGGGGGGUGGAAUUCCGCGUGUAGCAGUGAAAUGCGUAGAGAUGCGGAGGAACACCGAUGGCGAAGGCAGCCCCCUGGGCCAAUACUGACGCUCAGGCACGAAAGCGUGGGGAGCAAACAGG